Molecule: long non-coding RNA, 582 nt
Filed under: Citrus x clementina
Lineage: Eukaryota; Viridiplantae; Streptophyta; Magnoliopsida; Sapindales; Rutaceae
Description: Citrus clementina (C. clementina) long non-coding RNA (CCLE_LNC001601)
Source: RNAcentral
UUCUGAGUAAUAAUCUCGUGUAAUUAAAAAAAAAAAUCGUCUCAAGGUGCAUGCUUGUUAAUUUCCGGUUGGAUUAGACAAUUAGCUGCUUGCAAUUAGAGGCCAAAAGGAGAAAUUAAAAAAUAAUUGCUUCAAAAGUUACUUCUUGACUUCUGUAUUAAGUAUUGACAGCUAGUUGUGCAUAAUCAACACGCAUCGCUUGGACCUGCUUCUUUUUAAUUGCUGGCCAAAUUGAGCAUGGUUCAUCAUUAUUCAAAAUCUUAACAUCUCAAUCUCAGAUUAUAUUGUACAAUUAUAGUCAAACCCUAAAAAAUUCAAAAUAAAAAAAAUUAAGAAAAAGAACCUUAGGAACCAAAUUGCGCCAGAUGGCUUCUUUUCCAACUACCUUUACCUGUUCUUCUAAAUCCUAUUAAAAUAAUAAUUUGGGCUGUCUCUAUGUCUCCAACUUUCUGUCUGCUCAAUAUUAAUUUACAAAUGGGUAUUUUUAAUGGUUUUUUUUCCCCUUCAUUUACCAACACAACACAUUUGAAAAUUCAAGAUAAUAAAAAAUAUAUCUCAGUCAAAGUUUGAGGCUCCAUUAUU